AGCACUGGGAGCUCAGGGAUCAAUCUGAAGAGGCUUAUUCCUUUGAAAUUCCUUUUGAAAUUCUUGUUGAGUUUAAUUUGAUAACUGGUUUAUUCCCUUGCAAAGUUAAUGAAUGUGAAGGAUGAUCAUGGCUCUCUCUCUGCUAUUGCAAGGCAAGGUUCAGGCAGUGCAUCCCGC
Asparagus officinalis (garden asparagus) is the source of this 177-nucleotide long non-coding RNA. RefSeq lists it as uncharacterized. The transcript has 3 exons. The record is from RefSeq and is a predicted model, not a curated record. NCBI's taxonomy places the organism in Eukaryota, Viridiplantae, Streptophyta, Magnoliopsida, Asparagales, Asparagaceae.